This is a long non-coding RNA of Solea solea (common sole), 236 nucleotides long. RefSeq lists it as uncharacterized. The record is from RefSeq and is a predicted model, not a curated record. The transcript has 3 exons. Lineage: Eukaryota; Metazoa; Chordata; Actinopteri; Pleuronectiformes; Soleidae.
CUGUGUGUCACACAACUUACUGGCUGUAUUUUCUACUACUGGACAUUUCAAUAAACUGAGGGAGGACAGUGAUAAAAUCGGACCUCUUGCUUAUUUUCCUCCUAAUGGGACCUUUAACCUCAUGUACUACCCGUACUAUGGCAAGAAAUCUCAGUUGGAGACAAAGUGGACCUCGGUGGACCUGGUUCUCUGUAGACCUCCGUGUGGACUCACCUGGGCGUGUACUCCAGGUGAGA